UACGGAGGGUGCGAGCGUUGUCCGGAAUCAUUGGGCGUAAAGGGCGCGUAGGUGGCCCGGUCAGUCAGUGGUGAAAGCGCGGGGCUCAACUCCGCGUCGGCCAUUGAUACUGCUGGGCUUGAGCACUGUAGAGGCAGGCGGAAUUCCGGGUGUAGCGGUGGAAUGCGUAGAGAUCCGGAAGAACACCGGUGGCGAAGGUGGCCUGCUGGGCAGUAGCUGACACUGAGGCGCGACAGCGUGGGGAGCAAACAGG
RNAcentral lists this ribosomal RNA (253 nucleotides) under uncultured bacterium. RNAcentral describes it as "partial 16S ribosomal RNA". It matches the Rfam family "Bacterial small subunit ribosomal RNA", at positions 524 to 776 of the family's 1533-position model. The record is from RNAcentral.